GUGCUCAACAAGUUCUCAAUGAGUAUAUUUUCAGGGCUAGCAUUUAUACACAGUUUGUCAUGCAAACAGUGAGAUCUAUAGUGUCCUUGUAGUUAAUAGUACAUACUUGUCGGACAUGAAAAAGAUAAGCAUUUGGAUAAAGACGAGACAGGAACAUCCUAAGGUCAAGGAAGGUCAUACAUCCUGUAGACGAAAGACCUUGGUACAAAAUACAUCUGCCAAAGUCAGCAUAAUUAUUUCAAACAUUAUUUUAAAGCAAGAAAGAGUUUAACUAUUUCAUAUCCUUACAGUCAGUACUAAUGAUUAUAAACCUUAUCUAAGCAUAAAAUACAUAUGAACAAGGAAAGUUAACUAUUUCAGCUUUCAUCCCCCCUCUUUGAGCAAUACACUUGCU
Molecule: non-coding RNA, 394 nt
Organism: Pelobates cultripes (western spadefoot toad)
Lineage: Eukaryota; Metazoa; Chordata; Amphibia; Anura; Pelobatidae
Source: the annotation of a GenBank genome assembly